GGCCUCGUAGCUCAGCUGGUAGACGCGCGUAAAAAGCGUGGGCGGUGUCCAUGCGUGCGUUCGAAUCCCACCGAGGCUACUGAACUUAGCUACAGCGGUGUCCAUGCGUGGGUUCGAAUCCCACCGAGGCUA
This 132-nucleotide transfer RNA is filed under the name Echinostoma caproni. It matches the Rfam family "tRNA". From Rfam's summary of the family: Transfer RNA (tRNA) molecules are approximately 80 nucleotides in length. Their secondary structure includes four short double-helical elements and three loops (D, anti-codon, and T loops). Further hydrogen bonds mediate the characteristic L-shaped molecular structure. tRNAs have two regions of fundamental functional importance: the anti-codon, which is responsible for specific mRNA codon recognition, and the 3' end, to which the tRNAs corresponding amino acid is attached (by aminoacyl-tRNA synthetases). tRNAs cope with the degeneracy of the genetic code in two manners: having more than one tRNA (with a specific anti-codon) for a particular amino acid; and 'wobble' base-pairing, i.e. permitting non-standard base-pairing at the 3rd anti-codon position. The record is from Rfam by way of RNAcentral. Lineage: Eukaryota; Metazoa; Platyhelminthes; Trematoda; Plagiorchiida; Echinostomatidae.